UUUUUUUUUUUUGGUCUUGUUCUUAGUUAACUCCAGUAGUGGAGCAUUUCUUGUGUACAGAGAAGAGAAUUAGGCAUACUGUUAAAGCAAAAUAUAAAUCAAUAACAUUGUUAAUUACCUACUGUGUGUCAGGUGCUUUUCGUUUGCUCUUAUUUCAUUUAAAACAUAAACAAACAGGAGGGCCUGCUAUGGCACAGUGAGUUAAGCAGCUGGAAUGUAGGGCAAACCCCCGCCCCCAAACAAAAACAUAAGUCUGUUGUCCAUGUCCAUGAUCUGUUUUUGCUUUGCAGACUUGUGGUUGCCAAGGGGGCAUGGGGAAGGAAAUGGGAUGGACAGGGAGUUUUGGGUUGGUAGAUGCACACUAUUACAUUUAGAAUCAAUAAACAAUGAAGUCCUACUGUAUAGCACAGGGAGCUAUAUUCAAUCACUCGGGGUAGAACAUGAUGGAAGAUAGUAUGAGAAAAAGAAUAUAUGUUAGACUGGGUCACUAUGCUGUAUAAUAAAUUGACACAAUACUGUAAAUCAACUAUACUCUAAUAAAAAAAUAUAAAACAAACAAAUCUAUAGGGUGAUAUUAUUAAUCCUAUUUAACAGUUGGGUGGGAAAAGAGAGACCUUGAUUUUUAAAAUAAUUUUCUCAUUAUUGUAAAGUUGUAUAUGGUGUAGAAGACGUGUGAUACUCAGAUAAGACCAAGGGCAUCUGUGUCCUGACUGAGUGGAAUGACACUAUAUUUCAACAAAUAUUGAUAUAUAAAAUCUACUUUUUCUGAGGAAGAGCUGGACAGAAUGUAGAACUUCCAGCACUCUGGAAAGAACCUGCACCACAGCAACCACCAGAGCUACAGAAAUGAUAAUACCGAAUUCUUAGCCUGCUGAGGCACCAUGGCAUUUCUGGAAUGAAGUAUUAAUUCAGCCAAGAUCAAAGUCAUGAACUCUGUCAUGUGGUUUAGAGGUCUAUAAAAAGUUCAAUGCCAUUCUCACUCAGAAAGACAUAGCAAAACCAACGAUAUUCUAAUCAAAAAAAAAAAAAAGACAUGGCAAUAAAUGUCUCACUUCUUAUUGAACAAGUUAAUCUACAAUGGUAUGAAGGUCAUGGUCCAAACUCUUCAUGAAAAUACAAAUAUAGAAUAAAGGAGGGUGAGGGUAGGAGGAAGGAAGUUAUUGGGAAAAGGAUGAGAACAAAAGAGAAAGGGAGAAGGGGGAGAAAGAGAAUGUGGAAGAGGGAGAAGGGGAGAGAGUGAAAGUGAGAGAGAGAGAGAGAGAGAGAGAGAAGGUUAGUGAAACUUGCCCAACCAAUUUGUCCACAAGAGCUUUACCCUUAAGUUCUCAUAAUUUAUAUGAUAAAUGAGUUGACUUAAGUGGCUUGAAGGAAAAGGUACAUGAUGACAAGAUACUGGUUCAUUAUGGAGGAUAAUCAAUGACUAGGAAAAUGGCAAUUGUAUGAGAGAUCUUUGAAUAGUCCACUAAUAUUUCACACAUGUACUACAAAUCAUUUACUUAGUGUUGCUGAUAAAAUACCACUCAGUCAAAUCUUAGUGACUUGCUCAGUCCUUCUCUUUAGAGACUCAUGGGCCGUAAAAAUAGAGCUGGGCUCUGGGGCAUGUGGUUGGCUAUACUCCAUAACCAAUGAAAUUAGAGAAGCUAACUUAAUUCAUAUAGGCAUCCAAAUAAGGAUCAUAAUGACCUACUCAGUGUCAACUGACUAGACAUGUUUUUUGGGGCAAGUCAGUUUGUCAGUUUAGAAAUGAGUGAUGAUUGACUUGCUCGGGCUACAACUGUUACGGUGUCCAAAAGAUACCCACUCCUAUGUCUGCUUCCCACCAUCCUCAUCCCUCAUCAUGUUUUCUCAUUGUACAGCUUCAAUGGGUCAAUGAAAUUCCAUUCUGUUAAAUAUCUACGGGUCAUCACUCUUUAGCUGCAGCAUAAUUAAGUAAAUACAUUUAAAAAUGUACUUGAUCAUUUGAUACAGUCCCUUGAACAGCAGAACACAUGGUGCAAUGUAAGUGCAAAGGAUCAAAAAAACCAACAAACAAAAACAAAAACACUUUACAGUGAUACCAAAAAAACUGUGAUUGUCUCACUCAAAUACACUAAUGUAAAAUUUAUCAUCUUUCAAAAACAUGCAAAAGAACAAUUUCUCAUUGUCUGGCAAAGAAGUCAGAGCAUCUGAGAGAAGUAUGUAUUUGUUGAAAAUCCUUAGAUUUUUGGUUAACUUUUGGUCCACCUUGAUGCUAAGUGGUAUUGCGACUCCAAUUUUAUAUCAUAGGGAAUAUCCUUUCUUACAUGCUUCAAAACCACAAAGAAAUAAAUUUAGUUACUGCAAAUAAAGAAGUAACAUGAAGAUGAACUAUAUCAGGGGAAGGAUCAGGAGUAAGUUCUCAGUGACAAUAAAACAAAUUUUAAAAAGUAGAAAUAUAGACAUAGGUGUUGAUACUUUGAAAAUUUAAGGGAUAAUCAAUCUAUACAUUUCUUUUCUGACACACAAUUUAUAGACAUAUCUCCUUAAGCACUGCUCUGCACUUGUUAUAGAACUCUUAAUGUUAUGAAUGUGUAAUAUUAGUCUCACAUCAGAAAUGAAAACCAUCUAUUGCUCAGUCAAUGAAUGGGGCAUGACAUUCUGUGAUUUCCUUAUUUCAGAAAGUAUUCAUUUUUUACCUCCUCCACAGUUUUCUCUUUCUGACAUGAUUUUACGUUCUGGUGAACAGUUUUGACUCAUAGUGGCUCACAAAAGAUAUGCAAAUAGUAGUGCUGGAGGUACAGACAGUGAAUGCUAGUUUUAAAGCAGCUUGAGGCCAUGAGUACAUUUAAGGAAAUAAAGGUGGUUGGUAAAUAUAAAAGGAAAAUGGAUGGUAAAUGUCCAAAGCCAGUUGCUGUCCCCAUGGAGGUCAAGGGAAAAACCUCUCUUUACUGGGAUUUAGAAGCAAGCCACUCCCUCCCAUUCCCAGAAAACAGCAUUUGUAUCUAGGCCUUCUUUGCUUAUGACCCUCUUGCCUCAAAUUGUUGACAUCUAUAACAUGAUGGAACUUACAAAGAACCAACAGUUUGAAUUCCAGCAUUAAUGUUAUCUUUAGAAUAAUGUAAAUAUAUGAUUUGGAAUUCCUGUUGUGGCUCAGUGGAAACGAGCCCGACUAGUAUCCAUGAGGAUGCGGGUUUGAUCCCUGGCCUUGCUCAGUGGGUUAAGGACCCAGCAUUGCCGUGAGCUGUGGUGUAGGUCACAGACAUGGCUUGGAUCUGGCACUGCUGUGUCUGUGGUAGAGAUUGCAGACAUGGCUUGGAUCUGGCAUUGCUGUGACUGUGGUGUAGGCUGGCAGCUGCAGCUCUGAAUCGACCCCUAGUUUGGGAAGUUCCUUAUGCCACAGGUACAGCCCUAAAAAGUAAAUAUAUGAUUAAUUUUUAGCUCUAUAUUUUAGAUGGGUUGGUGAGUUUGUGCUUUGGGUUUUUUUGGUUUGUUUUGUUUUUAAAGAAAAUUUUAGUCUCCUGAAUGUUCAGUUUCCACUGGACAGCCCAGUCCCUUUUUAUGAGGUGGACCCAAAGUGGCCACUGGCCAGGGCACAUCUGAGACAAGCAGAUGUGUCCACGUGGCUUGUUAGAAUAGGGAGCACUGAGGCUGCAUCUCUGGUAAAGUCUGGGACAGUAGAAUGGGUCAUGGUCCUUGUUGUCCCCUUUCCCUGCUGGUCUUGGGGAAGAAGCCCUGUAACUCCUUGGACCAAGAGAAGCAGAAUCCACUUUCCAAACCUGGAGGCUCUCACAAAGAUGCCCCCUAUCUUCCUACCUUUGGUAGGCAGAGACAGUGGGAGUGAGUGGUGGAAGAUUGCAACCCUAAACUCCUCUUCUCUAUCACAUUUCCUUCCCAUCCUUCCACAGGAUUAGAAUAAAUGGGAGGAAAAUGAUAGCUUGCUGGGGUUUACAUACAUCCUUGUGAAUCUAGGUCUCUCUGUUAAGAUCUCGUUAUCCAGAAGGAAGGGAUAUUUUCCUUUUUGUUUUGUUUCCCACCCCACCACCCCAUUUAUGCUAACUCAAUUGGAGAUUUGUGGAAGUCCUUUAAUAUUAUAAAGAACUUCAUAAAACUCACUGUAUCUUCUGAGAUACCUACUCUAAAUUGUGAUCUAUAGCUCGAAGAAUCGGCAGUGGUCACCUGGGACAGUAGGGAAUUAAAAGGAACAGAAGUUGUAAAGUACACUGUCAGGAACCCAACUCCAUGAGAACUGAGGUCUAAGGGCUUGCACAGCUGUGACUCAAGUUGUAUACUCAUUUCCACAGACACUCCUUCCUCCAUAAACUAAGAAUGCCUGGAUCUAUUAGGGACUAAAAACGUAAUAUGAGGACACAGUAGAAUACUGUGGGGGAUGCUUAUUGAAGGAGCAAGUCUUAACUGAUUCAAAGUUUCAGUGAAGGUGAACUUUGACGUCAGGCAAGUGGCUUUAAGUGGUUAGGUAGAAGAGUGUUAAAGGUGAUGUUUCAAGCAUAUUACAAUACAUAGAUGUAUCAAAUUAACAGAUUGUGUACCUUAAAGUCACAUAAUGUCAUAUGUCAAAGGCUGUUCAAUUAAAAAAAAUCUCAGAUUUAUGGUUCAAAGGAUGGAAACAUUUAAAAGUAAGAACUAAGGGUGUGUGUGUGUGGGGGGCGAGGGAGACAUAUAUUCCCUUUCGUAGAUGUAAAUUAUUAUUUCUAGUUAUUGUAAUAAAUAUUUUAUGCAAAUAGAUACCUGUCUAUGGAUGUAACUCAAUAUUUCUAUUUAUUUAAUAAAUUACUUUUAUGCAGCAGGAUCUUCACAUAAACAGUUUAAUUUAAAUGUACUUAGCCUCAAUACCUUAAACACAUAUUUUAAGCAAAGUCCUUUGACAAUGGAAAUUUGGUGAGAUCGCAGCAAACCUGAGCUGCCUUCCUCACCUGCUAACUUAAUAGCAUUUUUGGUCUAUACCAUCUUCCAACACAGAGACUUGUUAUUGCAUACCUGGGGAGAAAAAGGAGCUUCCACAAUCUGGCUUAUUUCUUCAUCCGUGUUUUCCAGUGAUAUUCUCCUAUGUGAUCCCUGCAGUAAAGUUAACUUGAUCUUUCACCUCUCUUCAC
Molecule: long non-coding RNA, 5069 nt
Filed under: Sus scrofa (pig)
Lineage: Eukaryota; Metazoa; Chordata; Mammalia; Artiodactyla; Suidae
Description: lncRNA (ENSSSCG00015068016.1)
Source: RNAcentral